UGGGGAAUCUUGGACAAUGGGGGCAACCCUGAUCCAGCCAUGCCGCGUGAGUGAUGAAGGCCUUAGGGUCGUAAAGCUCUUUCGCCUGUGAAGAUAAUGACGGUAGCAGGUAAAGAAACCCCGGCUAACUCCGUGCCAGCAGCCGCGGUAAUACGGAGGGGGUUAGCGUUGUUCGGAAUUACUGGGCGUAAAGCGCACGUAGGCGGACCAGAAAGUUGGGGGUGAAAUCCCGGGGGCUCAACCCCGGAACUGCCUCCAAAACUAUUGGUCUAGAGUUCGAGAGAGGUGAGUGGAAUUCCAAGUGUAGAGGUGAAAUUCGUAGAUAUUUGGAGGAACACCAGUGGCGAAGGCGGCUCACUGGCUCGAUACUGACGCUGAGGUGCGAAAGUGUGGGGAGCAAACAGGAUUAGAUACCCUGGUAGUCCACACCGUAAAACGAUGAAUGCCAGUCGUCGGGUAGCAUGCUAUUCGGUGACACACCUAACGGAUUAAGCAUUCCGGCC
This 503-nucleotide ribosomal RNA is filed under the name uncultured bacterium. Its description in RNAcentral is "bacterial SSU rRNA". It matches the Rfam family "Bacterial small subunit ribosomal RNA", at positions 355 to 873 of the family's 1533-position model. The record is from RNAcentral.